UGGGGAAUUUUGCACAAUGGGGGAAACCCUGAUGCAGCGACGCCGCGUGAUUUAGAAGGCCUUCGGGUUGUAAAAAUCUUUUCUAUGGGAAGAAAAUGACAGUACCAUAGGAAUAAGGACCGGCUAAUUACGUGCCAGCAGACGCGGUAAUACGUAAGGUCCGAGCGUUGUCCGGAAUCAUUGGGCGUAAAGGGUACGUAGGCGGGUAAGCAAGUUAGAAGUGAAAUCCUAUAGCUCAACUAUAGUAAGCUGUUAAAACUGCUCAUCUUGAGGUAUGGAAGGGAAAGUGGAAUUCCUAGUGUAGCGGUGAAAUGCGCAGAUAUUAGGAGGAAUACCGGUGGCGAAGGCGACUUUCUGGCCAUAACCUGACGCUGAGGUACGAAAGCGUGGGUAGCAAACAGG
Molecule: ribosomal RNA, 402 nt
Filed under: bacterium
Lineage: Bacteria
Description: partial 16S ribosomal RNA
Rfam family: Bacterial small subunit ribosomal RNA
Source: RNAcentral